This 103-nucleotide microRNA precursor is filed under the name Marmota monax (woodchuck). The record is from RNAcentral. Lineage: Eukaryota; Metazoa; Chordata; Mammalia; Rodentia; Sciuridae.
AGUGGGAUAGCUGGGUCAAAUAGUGGUCCCAUUCCAAGUUUUCUGAAGAAUCUCCAUACUGUUUUCUAUAAUGGUUGCACCAAUUUGCUGUCCUACUAGCAAU